UACGGGGGGGGCAAGCGUUGUUCGGAAUUACUGGGCGUAAAGGGCUCGUAGGUUGCCAACUAAGUCAGACGUGAAAUCCCUCGGCUCAACCGAGGAACGUCGAUCGAUACUGCUGUUCUUGAGGAUUGCAGAGGAGACUGGAAUUCCCGGUGUAGCGGUGAAAUGUGUAGAGAUCGGGAGGAACACCGGUGGCGAAGGCGGGUCUCUGGGCAAUUCCUGACGCUGAGGCGCGAAAGCGUGGGGAGCAAACGGG
This 253-nucleotide ribosomal RNA is filed under the name uncultured bacterium. Its description in RNAcentral is "partial 16S ribosomal RNA". It matches the Rfam family "Bacterial small subunit ribosomal RNA", at positions 524 to 776 of the family's 1533-position model. The record is from RNAcentral.